RNAcentral lists this unclassified non-coding RNA (21 nucleotides) under Mus musculus (house mouse). Its description in RNAcentral is "oocyte_clustered_small_RNA11294". The record is from RNAcentral. Lineage: Eukaryota; Metazoa; Chordata; Mammalia; Rodentia; Muridae.
CUGGGCCAUCAAUUGCAGCUG